AUUGAACGCUAGCGGCAUGCUUAACACAUGCAAGUCGAACGGCAGCGCGAGGAGCUUGCUCCUUGGCGGCGAGUGGCGGACGGGUGAGUAACGCGUAGGAAUCUGCCUUAUAGUGGGGGCAACUCGGGGAAACUCGAGCUAAUACCGCAUAAUAUCUACGGAUCAAAGUGGGGGAUCUUCGGACCUCACGCUAUAAGAUGAGCCUGCGUCAGAUUAGCUUGUUGGUGGGGUAAAGGCCUACCAAGGCAACGAUCUGUAGCUGGUCUGAGAGGAUGAUCAGCCACACUGGGACUGAGACACGGCCCAGACUCCUACGGGGGGCAGCAGUGGGGAAUAUUGGACAAUGGGCGAAAGCCUGAUCCAGCAAUGCCGCGUGUGUGAAGAAGGCCUUUCGGGUUUGUAAAAGC
Molecule: ribosomal RNA, 407 nt
Filed under: uncultured bacterium
Lineage: Bacteria
Description: bacterial SSU rRNA
Rfam family: Bacterial small subunit ribosomal RNA
Source: RNAcentral